RNAcentral lists this ribosomal RNA (433 nucleotides) under uncultured bacterium. Its description in RNAcentral is "partial 16S ribosomal RNA". It matches the Rfam family "Bacterial small subunit ribosomal RNA", at positions 29 to 507 of the family's 1533-position model. The record is from RNAcentral.
AACGAACGCUGGCGGCAUGCCUAACACAUGCAAGUCGAACGAGACCUUCAGGUCUAGUGGCGCACGGGGGCGUAACGCGUGGGAACCUGCCCUUAGGUUCGGAAUAACUCUCCGAAAGGGGUGCUAAUACCGGAUAAUGUCUUCGGACCAAAGAUUUAUCGCCUUUGGAUGGGCCCGCGUUGGAUUAGCUAGUUGGGAGGGUAAAAGCCUACCAAGGCGACGAUCCAUAGCUGGUCUGAGAGGAUGAUCAGCCACACUUGGACUGAGACACGGCCCAGACUCUUACGGGAGGCAGCAGUGGGGAAUAUUGCACAAUGGGCUAAAGCCUGAUCCAGCAAUGCCGCGUGAGUGAUGAAGGCCUUAGGGUUGUAAAGCUCUUUUACCCGGGAUGAUAAUGACAGUACCGGGAGAAUAAGCCCCGGCUAACUCCGUG